This 1647-nucleotide long non-coding RNA is filed under the name Homo sapiens (human). RNAcentral describes it as "non-protein coding LINC00682:7". Lineage: Eukaryota; Metazoa; Chordata; Mammalia; Primates; Hominidae. The record is from RNAcentral.
GUCCGCCUUUAGCGAUGGUUUGGGAACCCGGGCGCUGGAAAGGCGCGGGUGCGGAGGGCGGCUGAGCCGCGCGGCUGCGGCACCGUGGGCGCGAGACCCCUGCGGAGAGGAGCGCGCGGACGCCGGGGGAAGCGCCUCGGGGCGGCUGGAGGCGCAGCACCCUGGGGGAGCCGGGGCGCGGGAGAGACAAAACUGUUCGAACCUUCUCUCCCUUCCCCACCCCCAGCGCCCAAACCCGGGGCGGGUGAGCGCGACCCUUGCAGCGACCCCUUGCCGAGCCCUGCCCGCGCGAUUACUAAGGAGACGCGGCCUCCGGCACUGCCGUCCCCGCGCCGUUUGAAAACGGAUCCAUCAGCGGGGUAUUUGGAGAUUAUUCGCACUGAAUUUUCUGCCCGCCAAGAACGAAUAGGAUUGCCAAGCCACACCACUUUUUGGAGCCCGCUUAUUCGCGCCUAUCCACCCUCUCCUGUGCCCCAGGUUCCCUGAGCACGGGAAUCCUUUCCGGGCAUGGCCAAGUUUGUUCGGUGGCUCAGAGCGGGAAGGGAAGUGCAGUUCGACACCUGUCCAGCUGCUCCGCUUGGAGAUCAAAGGCCGGCUAUGGGCUGAGCGACAGAUUUACGGGACGGUGGUACAGAUUAAGGCGAGAACCCUGCCGGUCCUGGACUCGAGUUCGCACCCAAGGAAAGCGUACAGGUCCCUGGAAGCGGGUGGAUGUCGGAGAGGCCGAGGCAGCCUGCGCUGUGGCCAGGCAGGCUUGGUGGGCUUUAGUCUCAGUAUGUGUUCUUUAAAGUCUUGACAGGUUAUUAGUAAAGGAAGGGGCACCCCAGGGUCAUGAAGAUGCUUCUCGCUCUGGCCCAAGCAUGCUGAGGCUCGCUUAUUCCUCGGCCAGGCCCAGUAAAACAGCUCAAGCACAGCCUGGAGUCUUCCCGCAUCUGCGCGGGAGUAGAGUCUGGCUUUGGGCCCCGCGUACCCCGCAGUCGUCGGGGACCAGUUCGAGGCCACGGGAAGGGUUUCCGCGGCAGGGCGCGGAGUAAAGAGGGGAAGAAGGAAUCCUCUCCGCGUGAUCAGUAGGGCGGGCUUGUGAUACUCUCACACCCAGGUUCCAGCUCAGCCCCCAAACUGCUGCCCCAAGAAAACAAGUUGGGGAGUGUGGAUUUAGACAUAACAACGGGUGUGAGCUGAUGUCCUUACAACCAAAAAUAUUGAGACUAGAAAUUCAGCUCCGAAUCCACGACCCUCAGAUUGAUGCUUAAUCGCACCCUCGACUCCAGAAAAGCUGCCGGGGACAGACAUGGACAGGUUUUGCCAAGGGUUCAUUAAAAUAGUCUGCACUGGAAUAACCGGGGUGCAAGAGAUCACGUCUUCACUCAGGGCUUUGGGGAUCCCCUCGUCGCCCCAGGUCAGUGGGUGGGGAGGAGGGCAAACUUCUGUCUUUUGUUUGUGGGUGAGGGAUGCGAAUUGUGGCAGCAGCCGAGAAAAGGGGGGAAAUUAAUUGCAGCCAAUUAAUAAUUAAUCCCCUUUAAACAGCUUUAUUAUCUCUUCUGGGCGACAGAGAUUUGUCUGAUAACCCCCUGAAGACCAAAUGUCAAGUUUAACCAAAUAGUUAUUGCUUUAUCAACCCGAGUCUGCAAAUAAAUUAAUCAAAAG